Non-coding RNA from Camelina sativa (false flax), 159 nucleotides. Lineage: Eukaryota; Viridiplantae; Streptophyta; Magnoliopsida; Brassicales; Brassicaceae. The record is from RefSeq and is a predicted model, not a curated record.
AUUGUCAAGUAUCGCGCAGAUAUAGUUUGUCUGCAAGAGGUACAGAAUGAUCAUUUUGAUGAGUUUUUCGCUCCUGAGCUGGAUAAGCAUGGAUACCAAGCUCUUUUCAAGAGGAAGACAAAUGAGGUUUACGUUGGUAAUACAAACACAAUUGAUGGA